RNAcentral lists this unclassified non-coding RNA (375 nucleotides) under fungal sp. RNAcentral describes it as "partial internal transcribed spacer region". The stretch from base 1 to 46 matches the Rfam family "Eukaryotic small subunit ribosomal RNA", at positions 1786 to 1831 of the family's 1831-position model. The record is from RNAcentral. Lineage: Eukaryota; Fungi.
AAGUCGUAACAUGGUUUCUGUAGGUGAACCUGCGGCAGGAUCAUUAACACGUAUCCAAACGUUAAGACCCCCCCCGUGAACCUUUAUCCUGCUCUUGUAACCCGCGUAGUUCGCAAUCUCUGAUAAAUCAUAGCCCGGAAAGUUGUAGUGAUUCAGAGACCUCUGGCUACGUGCGAACAAGCAGUCAGUGUCGGAAAGUGUCAUUGAUUGUGCAAGGAUAGCGCUUCUACGAUUCCUGUAGACCGUACACUCGGGCAGGAGCUUUGCCAAAGGGUCCCCAUGCCCCGUAAUAACCCCACAGUUUAAUGUGAAGCUCAAUGUAAUACAUUGGGUAAAAAAACCGAACAACUGUUAACAAUGGAUAUCUUGGUUCUC